ACGGGAGGCAGCAGUAGGGAAUCUUCCGCAAUGGACGAAAGUCUGACGGAGCAACGCCGCGUGAGUGAUGAAGGUUUUCGGAUCGUAAAACUCUGUUGUUAGGGAAGAACAAGUACCGUUCGAAUAGGGCGGUACCUUGACGGUACCUAACCAGAAAGCCACGGCUAACUACGUGCCAGCAGCCGCGGUAAUACGUAGGUGGCAAGCGUUGUCCGGAAUUAUUGGGCGUAAAGCGCGCGCAGGCGGUUUCUUAAGUCUGAUGUGAAAGCCCCCGGCUCAACCGGGGAGGGUCAUUGGAAACUGGGGAACUUGAGUGCAGAAGAGGAGAGUGGAAUUCCACGUGUAGCGGUGAAAUGCGUAGAGAUGUGGAGGAACACCAGUGGCGAAGGCGACUCUCUGGUCUGUAACUGACGCUGAGGCGCGAAAGCGUGGGGAGCGAACAGGAUUAGAUACCCUGGUAGUCCACGCCGUAAACGAUGAGUGCUAAGUGUUAGAGGGUUUCCGCCCUUUAGUGCUGCAGCAAACGCAUUAAGCACUCCGCCUGGGGAGUACGGUCGCAAGACUGAAACUCAAAGGAAUUGACGGGGGCCCGCACAAGCGGUGGAGCAUGUGGUUUAAUUCGAAGCAACGCGAAGAACCUUACCAGGUCUUGACAUCCUCUGACAACCCUAGAGAUAGGGCUUCCCCUUCGGGGGCAGAGUGACAGGUGGUGCA
Molecule: ribosomal RNA, 714 nt
Filed under: Bacillus licheniformis
Lineage: Bacteria; Bacillati; Bacillota; Bacilli; Caryophanales; Bacillaceae
Description: bacterial SSU rRNA
Rfam family: Bacterial small subunit ribosomal RNA
Source: RNAcentral